GAUGAACGCUGGCGGCGUGCCUAAUACAUGCAAGUCGAGCGAACAGACGAGGAGCUUGCUCCUCUGACGUUAGCGGCGGACGGGUGAGUAACACGUGGAUAACCUACCUAUAAGACUUGGAUAACUUCAGGAAACCGGAGCUAAUACCGGAUAAUAUAUUGAACCGCAUGGUUCAAUAGUGAAAGACGGUUUUGCUGUCACUUAUAGAUGGAUCCGCGCCGCAUUAGCUAGUUGGUAAGGUAACGGCUUACCAACGCAACGAUGCGGAGCCGACCUGAAAGGGUGAUCGGCCACACUGGAAGUGAGACACGGUCCAGACUCCUACGGGAGGACGCGGUAGGGAAUCUUACGCAAUGGGCGAGAGCGUGACGGAGCAACGCCGCGUGAGUGAUGAAGGUCUUCGGAUCGUAAAGCUCUGUUAUUAGGGAAGAACAAAUGUGUAAGUACCUAUGCACGUCUUGACGGUACCUAAUCAGAAAGCCACGGCUAACUACGUG
Molecule: ribosomal RNA, 497 nt
Filed under: uncultured bacterium
Lineage: Bacteria
Description: partial 16S ribosomal RNA
Rfam family: Bacterial small subunit ribosomal RNA
Source: RNAcentral